RNAcentral lists this microRNA (23 nucleotides) under Gallus gallus (chicken). Its description in RNAcentral is "gga-miR-1453". The record is from miRBase by way of RNAcentral. Lineage: Eukaryota; Metazoa; Chordata; Aves; Galliformes; Phasianidae.
UGGGCAGCCUCUCAGUGAGCUCU